This 73-nucleotide transfer RNA is filed under the name Rhodoluna lacicola. Its description in RNAcentral is "tRNA-Leu (TAA) (tRNA-Leu-TAA-1-1)". It matches the Rfam family "tRNA". Rfam says of the family: Transfer RNA (tRNA) molecules are approximately 80 nucleotides in length. Their secondary structure includes four short double-helical elements and three loops (D, anti-codon, and T loops). The record is from Rfam by way of RNAcentral. Lineage: Bacteria; Bacillati; Actinomycetota; Actinomycetes; Micrococcales; Microbacteriaceae.
GCCCCUGUAUUCCAAUGGCAGAGAAGGGCGACUUAAAAUCGCUACAGUGUGGGUUCGAGUCCCACCAGGGGCA